CCCAGACUCCUACGGGAGGCAGCAGUGGGGAAUAUUGCACAACGGGGGGAACCCUGAUGCAGCGACGCCGCGUGGGUGAAGGAGCACCUCGGUGCGUAAAGCCCUAUCGGCAGGGAAGAAACAGACGGUACCUGACUAAGAAGCCCCGGCUAACUACGUGCCAGCAGCCGCGGUAAUACGUAGGGGGCAAGCGUUAUCCGGAUUCACUGGGUGUAAAGGGAGCGUAGACGGCGACGCAAGUCUGGAGGGAAAGCCCGGGGCCCAACCCCGGGACUGCUCUGGAAACUGCGUCGCUGGAGUGCGGGAGGGGCAGGCGGAAUUCCUGGUGUAGCGGUGAAAUGCGUAGAUAUCAGGAGGAACACCGGCGGCGAAGGCGGCCUGCUGGACCGUGACUGACGUUGAGGCUCGAGAGCGUGGGGAGCAAACAGGAUUAGAUACCCCGGUAGG
RNAcentral lists this ribosomal RNA (447 nucleotides) under uncultured bacterium. Its description in RNAcentral is "bacterial SSU rRNA". It matches the Rfam family "Bacterial small subunit ribosomal RNA", at positions 330 to 794 of the family's 1533-position model. The record is from RNAcentral.